AUUGAACGCUGGCGGAAUGCUUUACACAUGCAAGUCGAACGGCAGCACGGGGGCAACCCUGGUGGCGAGUGGCGAACGGGUGAGUAAUACAUCGGAACGUGCCCAGUCGUGGGGGAUAACGUAGCGAAAGCUACGCUAAUACCGCAUACGAUCUACGGAUGAAAGCGGGGGAUCGCAAGACCUCGCGCGAUUGGAGCGGCCGAUGGCAGAUUAGGUAGUUGGUGGGGUAAAGGCUCACCAAGCCUUCGAUCUGUAGCUGGUCUGAGAGGACGACCAGCCACACUGGGACUGAGACACGGCCCAGACUCCUACGGGAGGCAGCAGUGGGGAAUUUUGGACAAUGGGCGAAAGCCUGAUCCAGCCAUUCCGCGUGCAGGAUGAAGGCCCUCGGGUUGUAAACUGCUUUUGUACGGAACGAAACGGCCUUUUCUAAUACAGAGGGCUAAUGACGGUACCGUAAGAAUAAGCACCGGCUAACUACGUGCCAGCAGCCGCGGUAAAGUGU
Molecule: ribosomal RNA, 505 nt
Filed under: uncultured bacterium
Lineage: Bacteria
Description: bacterial SSU rRNA
Rfam family: Bacterial small subunit ribosomal RNA
Source: RNAcentral